UCACCUCUAUUUAAUCUAUUUUUCUAGGUUUCCUACCUUGUCAGAAAUACUGUUGAGAAGAGAUACAGGGACAGGCCCAAGAGCACAAGAGGCAUCCAGCUACACUAGAGGGUCCAUUAAACCUGUCCUUGAUGAGUUCCUUUUAGGACUGAUGUUGACUUAAAACUUCUGCUGGACAACAUGGAAAGAAUUCUGAGCUUCCUCCUUUAAAGAAGUCAAUUUGUAUUGUCUGAGCACAG
RNAcentral lists this long non-coding RNA (239 nucleotides) under Dromaius novaehollandiae (emu). RNAcentral's name for it is "lncRNA (ENSDNVG00000014816.1)". The record is from RNAcentral. Lineage: Eukaryota; Metazoa; Chordata; Aves; Casuariiformes; Dromaiidae.